UGGGGAAUCUUGCGCAAUGGGCGAAAGCCUGACGCAGCAACGCCGCGUGCGGGAUGACGGCCUUCGGGUUGUAAACCGCUUUCAGCAGGGACGAAAUUGACGGUACCUGCAGAAGAAGCCCCGGCCAACUACGUGCCAGCAGCCGCGGUAACACGUAGGGGGCGAGCGUUGUCCGGAUUUAUUGGGCGUAAAGAGCUCGUAGGCGGCUUUGUCAGUCGGGUGUGAAACCUCCAGGCUCAACCUGGAGCCGCCACCCGAUACUGCAAUAGCUAGAGUCCGGUAGGGGAGCAUGGAACUCCUGGUGUAGCGGUGAAAUGCGCAGAUAUCAGGAAGAACACCAGUGGCGAAGGCGGUGCUCUGGGCCGGAACUGACGCUGAGGAGCGAAAGCGUGGGGAGCAAACA
RNAcentral lists this ribosomal RNA (403 nucleotides) under uncultured bacterium. RNAcentral's name for it is "bacterial SSU rRNA". It matches the Rfam family "Bacterial small subunit ribosomal RNA", at positions 355 to 774 of the family's 1533-position model. The record is from RNAcentral.